UGGCCCCGCCCACUGGGCGUGCUCCUCCUACAUACAUGACUGCCUGCCAUGGCGUAGGAAUGGUUUCUAUUACUGCAUGUGGACUUGUCCUCUCCUCUCUCAGCGCUGAUCACUGAUCCCACUGAUAAGGAGUCUUUCACUUGUUUGGCGGUGUCAGGUGACCCCGACUCAGGCGGUCCCGGCUCUAAUGAGUACUUGCUGAUCUCAUCCAGAUUUGGGAUCCGGGCUCUGGGCUGAGAUUGUCGUACUCGCCAGACGUGAAGUGAGCCAAACAGUUUUAACAUGUCUCUGAAGGCGGCCCAGUAGCCAGUCACCAGGACCCUGUCCCUGAAUCCCUGGCACUUGACCCCAAUCAGAGAAGUCUGAGACACCGAGGAACUGUGGCAGUAGAUCAACCUGUCACUUGUGGGCUUUGAUCCCACUGAUAUAGGACUUUAAUAUGUGCACCACAGGGUGGACGUACCCAGGAACGGGAAGGAAAAGCAGCAGAAGACCACAGAGACGUCCUUGCAGCACACAUGACAACAUCCGCCAUCUUCUUUGUUUCAUGCAGCACGUAGACGUCCAAAGUGAGAUCUCGGCUGCAGCCUGGCAGGGAACCCGAGUGGAGUGUUAUGACUUUCUAACAUGGUGUCAGGCAGCUGCACUCAGCUGGAGGCCAGCUUUUUCUUCUUCUUUUUUUUUUUUUGUCCAACAGGAACUGGAGGGCAAGUCUGCACAGAUUGUGCUUCAGGACUUUGAUGGCCAGAAGAGACUUUACCUUGAAGAGGAACUGCACUUUUUUUAAAUGUUCCCUAUCAUUUACGAUCCUUAUGUAAGACAAGAACAUAUGUUCAUUCUAAAUCGUAAAUAAAUGCUAGCAAAAGUCAGCUAACA
Molecule: long non-coding RNA, 876 nt
Organism: Entelurus aequoreus (snake pipefish)
Lineage: Eukaryota; Metazoa; Chordata; Actinopteri; Syngnathiformes; Syngnathidae
Exons: 4
Source: RefSeq, a predicted model, not a curated record